AGCGAACGCUGGCGGUAGGCCUAACACAUGCAAGUCGAACGGCAGCACAGUAAGAGCUUGCUCUUACGGGUGGCGAGUGGCGGACGGGUGAGGAAUGCAUCGGAAUCUACUUUUUCGUGGGGGAUAACGUAGGGAAACUUACGCUAAUACCGCAUACGACCUACGGGUGAAAGCAGGGGAUCUUCGGACCUUGCGCGAUUGAAUGAGCCGAUGUCGGAUUAGCUAGUUGGCGGGGUAAAGGCCCACCAAGGCGACGAUCCGUAGCUGGUCUGAGAGGAUGAUCAGCCACACGGGAACUGAGACACGGUCCAGACUCCUACGGGAGGCAGCAGUGGGGAAUAUUGGACAAUGGGCGCAAGCCUGAUCCAGCCAUACCGCGUGGGUGAAGAAGGCCUUCGGGUUGUAAAGCCCUUUUGUUGGGAAAGAAAAGCAGCAGGUUAAUACCCCGCUGUUCUGACGGUACCCAAAGAAUAAGCACCGGCUAACUUCGUG
RNAcentral lists this ribosomal RNA (492 nucleotides) under uncultured bacterium. Its description in RNAcentral is "partial 16S ribosomal RNA". It matches the Rfam family "Bacterial small subunit ribosomal RNA", at positions 29 to 507 of the family's 1533-position model. The record is from RNAcentral.